This 148-nucleotide unclassified non-coding RNA is filed under the name Pseudomonas lundensis. Its description in RNAcentral is "t44". The stretch from base 50 to 147 matches the Rfam family "t44 RNA". Rfam says of the family: This family consists of a number of bacterial RNA genes of between 135 and 170 bases in length. The record is from RNAcentral. Lineage: Bacteria; Pseudomonadati; Pseudomonadota; Gammaproteobacteria; Pseudomonadales; Pseudomonadaceae.
UCGUUUUUUGGCCGUCUUGUGUUAUAAAAUGCGCCGCUUUCCGGGUAUAGCCCGGUGAGCACAAACCCACACACGUGUCGACACGAUGACCUGGGUGCCUUCAGCUCGAAGCUGCUGGUUGGUCAUUGGGAUACGUGGAGGCCUAACC